UACAGAGGGUGCGAGCGUUGUUCGGAAUUAUUGGGCGUAAAGCGCUGGUAGGUGGCUUGUUAAGUCGCGUGUGAAAUCUCCAGGCUCAACUUGGAAAGUGCGCGCGAAACUGGCGAGCUUGAGUGCCGGAGAGGGUCGCGGAAUUCCCGGUGUAGAGGUGAAAUUCGUAGAUAUCGGGAGGAACACCAAUGGCGAAGGCAGCUCGCUGGGACGUGACUGACGCUGAGGAGCGAAAGCGUGGGUAGCAAACAGG
This 253-nucleotide ribosomal RNA is filed under the name uncultured bacterium. RNAcentral describes it as "partial 16S ribosomal RNA". It matches the Rfam family "Bacterial small subunit ribosomal RNA", at positions 524 to 776 of the family's 1533-position model. The record is from RNAcentral.